Molecule: long non-coding RNA, 1643 nt
Organism: Carcharodon carcharias (great white shark)
Lineage: Eukaryota; Metazoa; Chordata; Chondrichthyes; Lamniformes; Lamnidae
Exons: 4
Source: RefSeq, a predicted model, not a curated record
UACAGAUGAACCGAAAGCCUGGUUCGUUAGUUUUCGAUUUGAAUUUGUGCUGGGCGGAGACAAGUGGGACGUGUACGAGCAUAAAUGCUGUCUCAGGGUUCACUCCUCUUCUUCGCUGUACAGUGACAGAUCAGCAGGAUCGACUCCGGCUGCUGGGGGUAAGAAGAGGCCAGAGACCAAUCCCUGAGGAGAGAUCUUUAAAAACAAAAAGAUUUUAAAAUGGGACAAGGAAGAAAUAGCAAAAAUCAUAGAACCCAGAUUUGGAGAAGGUUUCGUGAGUUGUUCCUGGCAGUCAGUGUCUCUGCUUUUUUGGAUCGCUGCAUUGAAGAGAAAUAUGGAAAGCCAAAGCUGUCUUCAUGAUUGACACAGUUGAAACCCGAGGCACACAAUAUGUGAGACUGUAUCCCACACACUAAACUCAAGAAAGCAGAGGGAAAGAUUGAGAGUGGGAAGCACAUGCUAAUAAGGGCGAUUGUUCAGUGCGCCAGAGUAGUGAGGGUGGAAGGUUAGAAGGACAAAUGCUGCUGAGGAGAGACUGAAGAACACAAAAAAAGCAGCCCCUAGCUGAAAUGUGCCACUCAGGAUCACAGCUGAGACAAUGCAGCACAUUAACCAGGCCCAUCAAUAAUGGCACUGAACAUCUGAACAACCCUCAUCUGAAAGUUUACAUAGAGCUUAAAUUGCCCUUGAACUAAGUGGCUUCCUAGGACAUUGGAGAGAGCAGUUAAGUGUCAUCCACAUUGCUGUGGGUCUGGAGUCACAUGCAGACCAGCCCAGGUAAUGACAACAGAUUUCCUUCCCUAAAGGACAUUAGUGAACCAGAUGGGUUUUUAUGAAAAUCAAGUGAUGGUUCCAAUUCCAACUCAAUUCUGGAGUUUAUUAAUUAAUUGAAUUUAAAUCCCACCAGCUGAAUAUGUGUGUGUGUGUGUGGGAUACAUUCCAGCAUACGAUAGUGGACUCGGUUUCUGUAUUCAUUCUCCUUUCAUUUGCAUUUUAAACUCUCCCUGUUUCCACAUUCUGUUCACAACCAUUUCUGUUGUCUUGUUCUUUGUGAUUAUGAUGCACUGUGUAUUAAUAAUCCCAAAUGGCUGGAUUUUAUAAAAUGAAAUUUCAGCCGGAGACUCACCAAUUGAUGCGACUCCAGGAUUAUUCACACUCUAUCAAGAAUCACUGCAGUUCUGGUGUACUUGCGGCCUGAUCCCAGAGUCCGGGGAUGUGAUCUGAAGCAAAGAGGAAUGAGCCUCACUACUGGGGUUGAAAGUUGCCCUGUCAUUGGAUGUAAAACAAGGGCAAUGUAUACCAAUACCUGGUCAUGAGGUUCUGCACAAAAUGGCCAUCACCAUAUAUCAGUGCUCACUGUUUGUACACUGGCUGAAAUCAGUGUGGCAUCACAUGCCCCUGAUUCAAUACCCUCCUGCAGAAUCUGUAAUGAAUGAUGUGUAGUACAUGUGGCGCAAAGUUUAAAAGGCACAGGGCCCAGGAGAUUUGUUCUGUUUCAGGACAAAAUGAAAGUUGGAGCGCAACAUACACUGGCUGUACAUCUCAGACACUGUGCAAGCAAAUUUCUUUUUUUAAUGACUUAGUCACUUCUCAUCGAUGUGUCAAUGCAAAAGAAAACCAAAUAAAGCUCACAUUUUUCUGAA